This 490-nucleotide ribosomal RNA is filed under the name uncultured bacterium. RNAcentral's name for it is "partial 16S ribosomal RNA". It matches the Rfam family "Bacterial small subunit ribosomal RNA", at positions 29 to 507 of the family's 1533-position model. The record is from RNAcentral.
AGUGAACGCUGGUGGUAGGCCUAACACAUGCAAGUCGAACGGCAGCACAGGAGCUCUUGCUCUCUGGGUGGCGAGUGGCGGACGGGUGAGGAAUACAUCGGAAUCUGCCCAGUCGUGGGGGAUAACGUAGGGAAACUUACGCUAAUACCGCAUACGACCUUCGGGUGAAAGAGGGGGAUCGCAAGACCUCUCAUGAUUGGAUGAGCCGAUGUCGGAUUAGCUAGUUGGCGGGGUAAUGGCCCACCAAGGCGACGAUCCGUAGCUGGUCUGAGAGGAUGAUCAGCCACACUGGACGUGAGACACGGUCCAGACUCCUACGGGGGGCAGCAGUGGGGAAUAUUGGACAAUGGGCGCAAGCCUGAUCCAGCCAUACCGCGUGGGUGAAGAAGGCCUUCGGGUUGUAAAGCCCUUUUGUUGGGAAAGAAAUCUUUCAGGCUAAUACCCUGGGAGGAUGACGGUACCCAAAGAAUAAGCACCGGCUAACUUCGUG